Molecule: ribosomal RNA, 236 nt
Filed under: uncultured bacterium
Lineage: Bacteria
Description: partial 16S ribosomal RNA
Rfam family: Bacterial small subunit ribosomal RNA
Source: RNAcentral
GAUCAUGGCUCAGGAUGAACGCUGGCGGCGUGCUUAACACAUGCAAGUCGAGCGAAGCACUUAGGAAAGAUUCUUCGGAUGAUUUCCUAUUUGACUGAGCGGCGGACGGGUGAGUAACGCGUGGGUAACCUGCCUCAUACAGGGGGAUAACGGUUAGAAAUGACUGCUAAUACCGCAUAAGACCACAGCACUGCAUGGUGCAGGGGUAAAAACUCCGGUGGUAUGAGAUGGACCCG